RNAcentral lists this ribosomal RNA (2902 nucleotides) under Escherichia coli. RNAcentral describes it as "bacterial LSU rRNA". It matches the Rfam family "Bacterial large subunit ribosomal RNA". The record is from RNAcentral. Lineage: Bacteria; Pseudomonadati; Pseudomonadota; Gammaproteobacteria; Enterobacterales; Enterobacteriaceae.
UUAAGCGACUAAGCGUACACGGUGGAUGCCCUGGCAGUCAGAGGCGAUGAAGGACGUGCUAAUCUGCGAUAAGCGUCGGUAAGGUGAUAUGAACCGUUAUAACCGGCGAUUUCCGAAUGGGGAAACCCAGUGUGAUUCGUCACACUAUCAUUAACUGAAUCCAUAGGUUAAUGAGGCGAACCGGGGGAACUGAAACAUCUAAGUACCCCGAGGAAAAGAAAUCAACCGAGAUUCCCCCAGUAGCGGCGAGCGAACGGGGAGGAGCCCAGAGCCUGAAUCAGUGUGUGUGUUAGUGGAAGCGUCUGGAAAGGCGCGCGAUACAGGGUGACAGCCCCGUACACAAAAAUGCACAUGCUGUGAGCUCGAUGAGUAGGGCGGGACACGUGGUAUCCUGUCUGAAUAUGGGGGGACCAUCCUCCAAGGCUAAAUACUCCUGACUGACCGAUAGUGAACCAGUACCGUGAGGGAAAGGCGAAAAGAACCCCGGCGAGGGGAGUGAAAAAGAACCUGAAACCGUGUACGUACAAGCAGUGGGAGCACGCUUAGGCGUGUGACUGCGUACCUUUUGUAUAAUGGGUCAGCGACUUAUAUUCUGUAGCAAGGUUAACCGAAUAGGGGAGCCGAAGGGAAACCGAGUCUUAACUGGGCGUUAAGUUGCAGGGUAUAGACCCGAAACCCGGUGAUCUAGCCAUGGGCAGGUUGAAGGUUGGGUAACACUAACUGGAGGACCGAACCGACUAAUGUUGAAAAAUUAGCGGAUGACUUGUGGCUGGGGGUGAAAGGCCAAUCAAACCGGGAGAUAGCUGGUUCUCCCCGAAAGCUAUUUAGGUAGCGCCUCGUGAAUUCAUCUCCGGGGGUAGAGCACUGUUUCGGCAAGGGGGUCAUCCCGACUUACCAACCCGAUGCAAACUGCGAAUACCGGAGAAUGUUAUCACGGGAGACACACGGCGGGUGCUAACGUCCGUCGUGAAGAGGGAAACAACCCAGACCGCCAGCUAAGGUCCCAAAGUCAUGGUUAAGUGGGAAACGAUGUGGGAAGGCCCAGACAGCCAGGAUGUUGGCUUAGAAGCAGCCAUCAUUUAAAGAAAGCGUAAUAGCUCACUGGUCGAGUCGGCCUGCGCGGAAGAUGUAACGGGGCUAAACCAUGCACCGAAGCUGCGGCAGCGACGCUUAUGCGUUGUUGGGUAGGGGAGCGUUCUGUAAGCCUGCGAAGGUGUGCUGUGAGGCAUGCUGGAGGUAUCAGAAGUGCGAAUGCUGACAUAAGUAACGAUAAAGCGGGUGAAAAGCCCGCUCGCCGGAAGACCAAGGGUUCCUGUCCAACGUUAAUCGGGGCAGGGUGAGUCGACCCCUAAGGCGAGGCCGAAAGGCGUAGUCGAUGGGAAACAGGUUAAUAUUCCUGUACUUGGUGUUACUGCGAAGGGGGGACGGAGAAGGCUAUGUUGGCCGGGCGACGGUUGUCCCGGUUUAAGCGUGUAGGCUGGUUUUCCAGGCAAAUCCGGAAAAUCAAGGCUGAGGCGUGAUGACGAGGCACUACGGUGCUGAAGCAACAAAUGCCCUGCUUCCAGGAAAAGCCUCUAAGCAUCAGGUAACAUCAAAUCGUACCCCAAACCGACACAGGUGGUCAGGUAGAGAAUACCAAGGCGCUUGAGAGAACUCGGGUGAAGGAACUAGGCAAAAUGGUGCCGUAACUUCGGGAGAAGGCACGCUGAUAUGUAGGUGAAGUCCCUCGCGGAUGGAGCUGAAAUCAGUCGAAGAUACCAGCUGGCUGCAACUGUUUAUUAAAAACACAGCACUGUGCAAACACGAAAGUGGACGUAUACGGUGUGACGCCUGCCCGGUGCCGGAAGGUUAAUUGAUGGGGUCAGCGCAAGCGAAGCUCUUGAUCGAAGCCCCGGUAAACGGCGGCCGUAACUAUAACGGUCCUAAGGUAGCGAAAUUCCUUGUCGGGUAAGUUCCGACCUGCACGAAUGGCGUAAUGAUGGCCAGGCUGUCUCCACCCGAGACUCAGUGAAAUUGAACUCGCUGUGAAGAUGCAGUGUACCCGCGGCAAGACGGAAAGACCCCGUGAACCUUUACUAUAGCUUGACACUGAACAUUGAGCCUUGAUGUGUAGGAUAGGUGGGAGGCUUUGAAGUGUGGACGCCAGUCUGCAUGGAGCCGACCUUGAAAUACCACCCUUUAAUGUUUGAUGUUCUAACGUUGACCCGUAAUCCGGGUUGCGGACAGUGUCUGGUGGGUAGUUUGACUGGGGCGGUCUCCUCCUAAAGAGUAACGGAGGAGCACGAAGGUUGGCUAAUCCUGGUCGGACAUCAGGAGGUUAGUGCAAUGGCAUAAGCCAGCUUGACUGCGAGCGUGACGGCGCGAGCAGGUGCGAAAGCAGGUCAUAGUGAUCCGGUGGUUCUGAAUGGAAGGGCCAUCGCUCAACGGAUAAAAGGUACUCCGGGGAUAACAGGCUGAUACCGCCCAAGAGUUCAUAUCGACGGCGGUGUUUGGCACCUCGAUGUCGGCUCAUCACAUCCUGGGGCUGAAGUAGGUCCCAAGGGUAUGGCUGUUCGCCAUUUAAAGUGGUACGCGAGCUGGGUUUAGAACGUCGUGAGACAGUUCGGUCCCUAUCUGCCGUGGGCGCUGGAGAACUGAGGGGGGCUGCUCCUAGUACGAGAGGACCGGAGUGGACGCAUCACUGGUGUUCGGGUUGUCAUGCCAAUGGCACUGCCCGGUAGCUAAAUGCGGAAGAGAUAAGUGCUGAAAGCAUCUAAGCACGAAACUUGCCCCGAGAUGAGUUCUCCCUGACUCCUUGAGAGUCCUGAAGGAACGUUGAAGACGACGACGUUGAUAGGCCGGGUGUGUAAGCGCAGCGAUGCGUUGAGCUAACCGGUACUAAUGAACCGUGAGGCUUAACCUU